Populus euphratica (Euphrates poplar) is the source of this 1284-nucleotide long non-coding RNA. RefSeq lists it as uncharacterized. The transcript has 2 exons. NCBI's taxonomy places the organism in Eukaryota, Viridiplantae, Streptophyta, Magnoliopsida, Malpighiales, Salicaceae. The record is from RefSeq and is a predicted model, not a curated record.
GCAGCCUUUUUUACUGAUCUGUGUAGGAACAGCGAGGGAACAAGAGAGCCGCCAUUAGGGCUUCUGCAGCGGCUUUUAACCUUCGACAACAACUGGGUAUUGCUAACUUUUUUGUUUCUCUAAUUGAAUCUUCCAGUACCUAAAUUUACACUGCUUCUGCUUUUAGCAUGAGGCUUAAAUAUUCUUUGCUAGGAAAAAAAUGAUUUGGUGGUAAAACCAAUUACAACAGUUUUGAUGAGACCAUAAUGUCAUUUUAUCCGAUGAUUUGUAUGAAUCCUGGAUCAUUAAUGGUGAAAUUUGGUGGAUUAUUAGGGUUGAUUGUGAGGAAGGAACAGUAUUUAUCUGCAUAUUCUUUGUGAAAACAAAUGGAAUUGCUAGGAAUCGUGCAUGAUGCGUAUACUUAUAAACAUCUUCAUUAACUGCCCCUGCCCCUGCUCCCUGGCAUUUGAUUUUGUUUUUUCUGUUUUGGCAUUUAACCAUUUUGUAUGAAACUCUGAAUGCUAAUGUCAAUAUUUAAAUUUACAAUGUUAUGAUGGAUGGAUAUUGUUUGCAAAGAGAAGCGAAUGAGCAUAGAAAGGAGUUAAGAUACAGUGGUUGGAAAAUGUUAUGCGUUUGAUCUUCAUAGUCAUAACAUCUUGAACAAUGGCCAUUGUAAGAGUAAGAGGUCCAUGAGUCAAUAACUCUCUUUGCAGAAAUGCAUGACAAAGCAUGGACUCCUAUUUCACCCUUACAAUGUCCAUUGAUUAAGAUGUUAUAACAUUGUUAUCAAGGGGUUUUUUUCCCCAAAAACUCCACAUCAAGUGCAGCUCAAGUUCUCAGGAAAAAUGGUCAAUGGAAGAUUCCAAUGCAUCCAUUCACGGUAAGCAUGGAUAUGGUUCAGGUAUCAAAUGUGAAGAUUAUACUGUGUUUCCAUGAGGAGAUUCUCAAAAUGGGAACUUCAAGCGAAAUUCUCAUUUUCCGUUCAGCAGUGAUGUGGUUGUCCAUCUUCAAAACAAUUAGGCUGCUAUACCUCAUAUAAAUACUGGCGUAUCCCGAAGAAACUUUGAAAUUGUUCCGGUGCGCUUCCAAGGGGUUGCUUUUUGGGACUGAUUUUGUCAAUUUUAAAAGAAAACGACCUCUAUAAAUUGAGACGACGAAAUCCUUGCCUAUUGCCUGUUUUAGGUUCUAAGAUUGACGAUAUCAAAUUAAUAAUGGCAUUUGAGAUGAUGAACUCUCUGCCCAGUAACCUGUUUUAGGCACCAAGAUUGACGAUAUCAAUAAAAUAAUGUCAUUUGAUUCUGUUGA